Long non-coding RNA from Solea solea (common sole), 644 nucleotides. RefSeq lists it as uncharacterized. NCBI's taxonomy places the organism in Eukaryota, Metazoa, Chordata, Actinopteri, Pleuronectiformes, Soleidae. The record is from RefSeq and is a predicted model, not a curated record. The transcript has 4 exons.
UUCCUCUCUUGCAUAGAAGGACGUCAAAACCAAAUGUCAGUCAAAUGUGUGGUCAUUUAAUUCGCAUGUACUCAUCCAUCAACACUUUAGUAAAGUGUCUUGAGAUAAUGUAUGCUGUAACUUGGCGCUAUUUGCAUAAAAACACGAGUAGAUGUAAUAGACCGCAGGCAUGGUGACACGGAGAGUCCCUCUUCCUCCCGGGGCUGUGUGUCAGUGUCGCUCUGGCAAGUCUGUCUGUUUGUACAGAUGUGUGUGUACGUCUGUACCGGGACAGCCUGCCUCCAAACUGGGACACCAAAGUGACACCGCGGCAGUCCGCUGUUCAAACUUAGCCUCCAAGGAAAAACAAAACACUCCGGAGAAGAAGUCUGCCGAGAGUUCACAACAAACGUUGACACAGCCGCCGCCUGGACUUAGUACCCGGAGCUGCCGUGUCUGUGAGAAACUCGCUCUCCAUUCCUUCAUUCAGUUGCCAGUGGGAUUUAUACUCACACAAUACUCACCUCAAUGGAGCUACUCAAACAUAAGCACUGCGCAUGCUGCUGUCUCUCAGAACCACCAAGUCCACCAUCCGCGGGAAACUCUUCAGCAGAGAGACGGCUGUCUCAUGCUCCAUGUGUAAAAAACUAUGUCCGUUAGCCUGC